CCUACGGGAGGCAGCAGUGGGGGAUAUUGCACAAUGGGGGGAACCCUGAUGCAGCGACGCCGCGUGGGUGAAGAAGUAUUUCGGUAUGUAAAGCCCUAUCGGCAGGGAAGAAAUUGGACGGUACCUGACUAAGAAGCCCCGGCUAACUACGUGCCAGCAGCCGCGGUAAUACGUUGGGGGCAAGCGUUAUCCGGAUUCACUGGGUGUAAAGGGAGCGUAGACGGCCAUGCAAGCCUGAAGUGAAAUCCCGGCGCCCAACCCCGGGCUUGCCCUGGG
RNAcentral lists this ribosomal RNA (276 nucleotides) under uncultured bacterium. RNAcentral's name for it is "partial 16S ribosomal RNA". It matches the Rfam family "Bacterial small subunit ribosomal RNA", at positions 338 to 630 of the family's 1533-position model. The record is from RNAcentral.